Molecule: long non-coding RNA, 2717 nt
Organism: Numida meleagris (helmeted guineafowl)
Lineage: Eukaryota; Metazoa; Chordata; Aves; Galliformes; Numididae
Exons: 4
Source: RefSeq, a predicted model, not a curated record
AGAAUAUAGCUAAUUUCCCAAACAUGAAUUUGCAGCUCAGGAAAAAUUAGUGUCCCACAUUAUAAAAAUAUUUAUGUGAAUUUUUAAUAUCCCAAAGGUCAGAGCUAUUCAGUGACAGAAUUGUGGUUCAGCCCAAGGAAAAAAGAAGAGUCGCUGGGAAACUGUGGUGACAGGUUCAUGCUCCGAAUAUUUAUACCAUGAUCAAGACUGAUGCAUGAGUUUAGAUAGAUCUAUUUGUGAUUUGCCAGUGCUGUUUCUCCAUGAUAAGCUCUGUGUUUGUGUUCAUUACUGCAGAGCUUGAGAUGUUGUGAGUUGUGUACUCAAGCACACAGUGAUGUUCUGCUAGUAGAUGCAUUAGAGAAAUUAGCAAUCUUCUCAAUACAUUUAUUUUCAGUUGAAGUAAUUUUAAGAAAUGUUAGUGAAAGGAACAAGGAAUUCCUUGUAUGGCCUGCAGACAGCAGCUCUGGAGGUACUCAGUGGAGCAGCCAGUGGGUGGUACCCCAGGGAUCUGUUGCCAGCAGCAGAACGGUCCUGCCCAGCACCUGUCUAUGUGCUCAGCAUUCUGUCAACUGCAGCCAUGAGGCUGCACUCUGAUAGGCAUGUAGUUAGGAGCUUUCAAAGAAAUCCUGCUUCUGCUGAAGUCAGUGGCAAAAUUCCCAUUGAUUUUUCUGGAAAGAAAUAGCGUUGUUUCCUACCCACAUCCUAGGCAGAAUUGUUCUCGACUUGGGUGUAACAGAAAGAAAUCUCACUCACUAGAAUGGAUCUGAUGAUCUAAAGAAAACAGAACGUUUAUUUAAAAAAUGAAGAAGAAGAGAGAAGUAUUGUUGCUGUGAAACUUGGAGUUUUUCUUAUGGUGUAUAUUUUCUAAGAUGGUGAAGCUGCUCUGAAAAGUGUCCUCAUCAAAUCAGCAGCCGGACACCCUGCAUUUUUGGUCUCAAUAAAAAUCAGGUAGAUGAGGCCAGCUUUGUUGUAGAAGAUUCCAGAGUUUCUUCUUCGAGUGUGUUCUGCUGGAGAUGUAAGGUACAAAUUCUCCUCUCUGAGCAUUAAAGGUGAUAAAGGGACAUGCCGCACUGGUCUGCAACAGCCACUGUUUCCUAAGGGAUCAACCUCCUUGGGCUGCACUACAACAUGGACAUUGCUUUGGCCAUUUGUUUUUACUUCUGUUGCUGAAUGAGUUUCUCAUUAAUGUUCUCAUGAAUGUUCAGUAUGGAUUAUUUAAAUGUGUCUGACACUGUGUAUUAAUAAUAGCAUAGUGACAAAAUUAACUACAGAACUUUGUUACUCGAUCAGAAUAUCAUACCCUAUUAUUCAUUAAAAAUAACAAAAAUCUCUGUUCUGCUUCCAACAGAGAAGAAACUUUUGUUUUUAGUGUUAUUUUAUCUGUCACAGGAAAGAAAAACAAAAAAGUUCUAGAGUUUCAAACCUGAAAUGUGCCAUUAGAGAGCAUUACUAUCUUGUCUGAUAAAUAUGUUCACUUUUGAUAUUUUCCUGUUUCUUUUUCUUCCCAUUUCUCUGAAUGACUAAAUCAGUGUGUUCUCAGAAAUCCUGAUACUUUCUUAUGUGAGUCCAGUAACUUCUCAAGCUGUGCAACAUGAUGUCACCCACUCUAUAAGACUCCAGAAUUUUUCAAUAAUACCUAAGUUUAACAGUGCGGAAUCACAUUGUUUCAUUUCCUCAUUCUUAUUGAUUUGUUAUAAUAAAUAGUCAUACAGAGAAACAUACAACCAGAAAUUGAUAGACCUUGUCUGUGCAUCUCUACAACAUUUAGCACUGCUGUAUAAAAAAUCUCUUCUGCUUACUCUUGUGCCAUAAAUAUAUACAUACUAAAAAAUUAAUUCAGAGGAGGAAAAUAAGGCACUACCUAUUUUGGGCCAGCAAAACAAAAUACAGUCUCUGAUGUACAUAUCAGGCUACUUCUCAUUACCUUUCAAACAUGCCCCACAAAGCCCUUCUAAUCAUACAUAAUCUAAAAGCAAACUGAUGAAAGAUAAAUCUUUGAUUUUUUUUCUUUAUCCAUACUGUGGCUUUUGUAAGAGUGCUUUGAUUUAUUUCCACAUGAGGAAUUAGGGUCUUAAUCGCAAUUAGCAUACUUGAGUGUUGUGUUAAAUGCUAAUCUGAGGGUUGUCUUUUUGUAUAUUUUAAGAAAUAAAACUCAGAGGGCUAUGUAAUAAGACUAGGCAAAAUUUCUGGAGUUUGCUUUGCUGAAAUUACAGGUUAAUGUCAUCUGAAUUUGCAAACUGAUUUGAAUUUAAGCUGUGUGAAAUGUUUGCAGUGGAACUUGAAGCUGAAAAUACAUCUGGUUUGAGUAUUUGAAGGAAAUACUUAGUCUGCGCGCACACUUUUCAAAUGGACUUGAGUUGAAAUAUGCACUUACAUACUCAAAAUGUUUACCUGACACUUAAUAUGAAGGCAAGAUCCACCACAUCUAAUACAUUUCAUGUGGAGCUUUGGGACAUGUUUGAAACAAAUCUCAGUUGGCUUAGUCUGGUCUUGUUCCCCAUGGAGUCACUGUUUACACUGAAAAAUUGGAACUGCAUUUAUUUGUAACAGCUGAGAAACUGAUCCAGCAUAUUGAGAACUGCAGUCAUGGAAACAUGUAUGCAUGUGUUUAUGUGUAGAUAUCAGAAAAAAUUUCCUCCAUAUUUCUUCUGAAAUGUAAACUAUGGGAAAAUUCAUGUUUUCUUCAUAAUGAAAGAUUAAAAUGCUUUAAAAAGUUG